RNAcentral lists this ribosomal RNA (492 nucleotides) under uncultured bacterium. RNAcentral describes it as "partial 16S ribosomal RNA". It matches the Rfam family "Bacterial small subunit ribosomal RNA", at positions 29 to 507 of the family's 1533-position model. The record is from RNAcentral.
AGUGAACGCUGGCGGUAGGCCUAACACAUGCAAGUCGAACGGCAGCACAGUAAUAGCUUGCUCUUACGGGUUGCGAGUGGCGGACGGGUGAGGAAUACAUCGGAAUCUACUUUUUCGUGGGGGAUAACGUAGGGAAACUUACGCUAAUACCGCAUACGACCUACGGGUGAAAGCAGGGGAUCUUCUGACCGUGCGCGAUUGAAUUAGCCGAUGUCGGAUUAGCUAGUUGGCGGGGUAAAGGCCCACCAAGGCGACGAUCCGUAGCUGGUCUGAGAGGAUGAUAGGCCGCACUGGAAGUGAGCCACGGUCAAGACUACUGAGGGACGCAGCAGUCGGGAACAUUGGGCAACGGGGGCAAACAUGGUACAGCGAUAGCGAGUCGGUGGAGGAGGCCUUCCGGUUGGAAAGACGUUUUGUUGGGAAAGAAAAGCAGCCGGUUAAUACCCAGCUGUUCUGACGGUACCCAAAGAAUAAGCACCGGCUAACUUCGUG